AGCGGGGUGGGGUAGCCAGGAUAUCCCGCGGGGCUCAUAACCCCGAGAUCGGUUGUUCAAAUCAAUCCCCCGCUACCA
This 78-nucleotide transfer RNA is filed under the name Promethearchaeota archaeon. RNAcentral's name for it is "tRNA-Met". It matches the Rfam family "tRNA". Rfam says of the family: Transfer RNA (tRNA) molecules are approximately 80 nucleotides in length. Their secondary structure includes four short double-helical elements and three loops (D, anti-codon, and T loops). Further hydrogen bonds mediate the characteristic L-shaped molecular structure. tRNAs have two regions of fundamental functional importance: the anti-codon, which is responsible for specific mRNA codon recognition, and the 3' end, to which the tRNAs corresponding amino acid is attached (by aminoacyl-tRNA synthetases). tRNAs cope with the degeneracy of the genetic code in two manners: having more than one tRNA (with a specific anti-codon) for a particular amino acid; and 'wobble' base-pairing, i.e. permitting non-standard base-pairing at the 3rd anti-codon position. Lineage: Archaea; Promethearchaeati; Promethearchaeota. The record is from RNAcentral. RNAcentral also lists the same sequence under 2 other names.